UGCAACAGAAGUACAGGAAGAUAAUGGG
RNAcentral lists this non-coding RNA (28 nucleotides) under Mus musculus (house mouse). The record is from RNAcentral. Lineage: Eukaryota; Metazoa; Chordata; Mammalia; Rodentia; Muridae.